Molecule: ribosomal RNA, 478 nt
Filed under: Sesamia nonagrioides (Mediterranean corn borer)
Lineage: Eukaryota; Metazoa; Arthropoda; Insecta; Lepidoptera; Noctuidae
Description: partial 16S ribosomal RNA
Source: RNAcentral
UGUCUUUUUGAAAAUAAUAUAAAGUCUAAUCUGCCCACUGAUUUAUUAUUAAAGGGCUGCAGUAUAUUGACUGUACAAAGGUAGCAUAAUCAUUAGUCAUUUAAUUGAUGACUUGUAUGAAGGAUUGGAUGAAAUAUAAACUGUCUCUUAAUUAUAUUUAGAAUUUAAUUUUUUAAUUAAAAAGUUAAAAUAAAUUAGAAAGACGAGAAGACCCUAUAGAGUUUUAUAAGUAAAAUUAAUUGAGAUUAUUUGUAAAGAUUAAAAUUAAGAUUAAUUUAUUUAUUUUGUUGGGGUGACAGAAAAAUAUAAAAAACUUUUUAUAUGUUUAAAACAUUAAUAAGUGGUUAAAUGAUCCAGUAUUAUUGAUUAUAAGAAAAAAUUACCUUAGGGAUAACAGCGUAAUUUUUUUUUUUAGUUCAUAUAAAAAAAAAAGUUUGCGACCUCGAUGUUGGAUUAAGAUAAAAUUUAAAUGCAGAAG